CCUGCGCCGCAAGCGGGCCUACCCCUCGAGCGCCUCACUGUGCACCCGGCAGCGGAGGCCGUGCUCGCCACCACGGACACCGGCCUGCUGCAGCCUCUUACGGUCACCCUCCAACGCCCAUGAUGGGCCACCACGGACGACGCGCACUUCUGCAGCCACCUCCGGUCGCCCUCCAACACACACGACGGCCACCAUGGACGACGCACACCUGAUUCCACAAGGAAGUAGAUCCAGGGCCAGCGUUAUAAACUUACUAUUAGUAUUAUUCGACAGACGUGUAACUUGCACAUGAACCAUGUAAAAUGCAAAAUUACUAAUGCCAACUUAAUAAAAAUAACUCUGCAGUGUGUCAUACAUGGCAAACCAAAGAUCAUGCUUGGUACUAUCUCUGUGCAGGUAGACAAUGUGUUCACUAUGCUACACCUGAUACUGGAUCAAUCUACUCUUCCUAAAUGAAAAACAUUAGUGAAAUUCCAGUGGCCUAAAGCCUGAUUUGCAUAUAUAGGAUAUAAGAUGAUAUGAUCAAGAACAGUAGCCAUAUUCAGUAUAACAAACCUAGAACCUGCACUAUAUAGGUUAACAAUUGU
Molecule: long non-coding RNA, 587 nt
Filed under: Hordeum vulgare
Lineage: Eukaryota; Viridiplantae; Streptophyta; Magnoliopsida; Poales; Poaceae
Description: long non-coding RNA (HVUL_LNC003295)
Source: RNAcentral